RNAcentral lists this transfer RNA (67 nucleotides) under Chrysomeloidea sp. 8 KM-2017. RNAcentral's name for it is "tRNA-Ser". Lineage: Eukaryota; Metazoa; Arthropoda; Insecta; Coleoptera. The record is from RNAcentral.
AGCUGAUGAGCUUGAUACAGCAUUUGUUUUGAAAACAUUAUAUAGAGGAAAGUCCCUCUAUCAGCUU